GAACUCAGGAGAAGGAACUCGGCAAAUUUGCACCGUAACUUCGGGAUAAGGUGCGCCCUGAUAGGUUGAAGCCCCUCGCGGGUGUAGGCUGAAAGGGUUGCAGUGAAAUGGUGGCUGCGACUGUUUAAUAAAAACACAGCACUCUGCAAACACGAAAGUGGACGUAUAGGGUGUGACGCCUGCCCGGUGCCGGAAGGUUAAGUGAUGGGGUGCAAGCUCUUGAUCGAAGCCCCGGUAAACGGCGGCCGUAACUAUAACGGUCCUAAGGUAGCGAAAUUCCUUGUCGGGUAAGUUCCGACCUGCACGAAUGGCGUAACGAUGGCCACACUGUCUCCUCCUGAGACUCAGCGAAGUUGAAAUGAUUGUGAAGAUGCAAUCUCCCCGCGGUUAGACGGAAAGACCCCAUGAACCUUUACUGUAGCUUUGCAUUGGACUUUGAACCAAUCUGUGUAGGAUAGGUGGGAGGCUGUGAAACUGGGACGCUAGUUCUGGUGGAGCCAACCUUGAAAUACCACCCUGGUUUGUUUGAGGUUCUAACCAUGGCCCGUGAAUCCGGGUCUGGGACCGUGCAUGGUAGGCAGUUUGACUGGGGCGGUCUCCUCCUAAAGUGUAACGGAGGAGUACGAAGGUACGCUAGGUACGGUCGGACAUCGUGCUGAUAGUGCAAUGGCAUAAGCGUGCUUGACUGCGAGACUCACACGUCGAGCAGGUACGAAAGUAGGUCAUAGUGAUCCGGUGGUUCUGUAUGGAAGGGCCAUCGCUCAACGGAUAAAAGGUACUCUGGGGAUAACAGGCUAAUACCGCCCAAGAGUUCAUAUCGACGGCGGUGUUUGGCACCUCGAUGUCGGCUCAUCACAUCCUGGGGCUGUAGUCGGUCCCAAGGGUAUGGCUGUUCGCCAUUUAAAGUGGUACGUGAGCUGGGUUUAAAACGUCGUGAGACAGUUUGGUCCCUAUCUGCCGUGGGCGCUGGAAAUUUGAAGGGGGCUGCUCCUAGUACGAGAGGACCGGAGUGGACGAACCUCUGGUGUACCGGUUAUGACGCCAGUCGUAUUGCCGGGUAGCUAAGUUCGGAAGAGAUAAACGCUGAAAGCAUCUAAGCGUGAAACUCGCCUUAAGAUAAGAUUUCCCUGGGGACUUGAUCCCCCUGAAGGGUCGUGGUAGACCACCACGUUGAUAGGCUGGGUGUGGAAGCGCAGCAAUGCGUUAAGCUAACCAGUACUAAUUGCCCGUGAGGCUUGAUCCU
RNAcentral lists this ribosomal RNA (1243 nucleotides) under metagenome. RNAcentral's name for it is "bacterial LSU rRNA". It matches the Rfam family "Bacterial large subunit ribosomal RNA", at positions 1696 to 2925 of the family's 2925-position model. The record is from RNAcentral.